This 243-nucleotide ribosomal RNA is filed under the name Triticum aestivum (bread wheat). Its description in RNAcentral is "partial small subunit ribosomal RNA". Lineage: Eukaryota; Viridiplantae; Streptophyta; Magnoliopsida; Poales; Poaceae. The record is from RNAcentral.
UUGUGUGUUCCUAAAAAUCAAGGAGGAACAGGAUUUCGUGAUGUUCACUGUUUCAACUUGGCGUUGCUAGCCAAACAGGAACGACGUCUGUUGGAUAAUCCUGAUUUCUUGUGUGCUUCUAUCCUGCGGGCAAAACAUUACCUCGAUGGUGAUUUGUUAAAUGCUAAGCUAAAGAAAGGCUCUUCCUUUACAUGGCAAAGUAUCAUGGUAGGCAAAAAUACACUGAAACUUGGCUAUAUUUGA